UGGGGAAUAUUGCACAAUGGGCGCAAGCCUGAUGCAGCCAUGCCGCGUGUAUGAAGAAGGCCUUCGGGUUGUAAAGCACUUUCAGUCGGGAGGAAGGUGGUAAGGUUAAUAACCUUAUCAAUUGACGUUACCGACAGAAGAAGCACCGGCUAACUCCGUGCCAGCAGCCGCGGUAAUACGGAGGGUGCAAGCGUUAAUCGGAAUUACUGGGCGUAAACCGCACGCAGGCGGUUGAUUGAGUCAGAUGUGAAAUCCCCGGGCUUAACCCGGGAAUUGCAUCUGAUACUGGUCAGCUAGAGUCUUGUAGAGGGGGGUAGAAUUCCAUGUGUAGCGGUGAAAUGCGUAGAGAUGUGGAGGAAUACCGGUGGCGAAGGCGGCCCCCUGGACAAAGACUGACGCUCAGGUGCGAAAGCGUGGGGAGCAAACAGG
Molecule: ribosomal RNA, 429 nt
Filed under: Chloroflexota bacterium
Lineage: Bacteria; Bacillati; Chloroflexota
Description: Chloroflexi bacterium partial 16S ribosomal RNA
Rfam family: Bacterial small subunit ribosomal RNA
Source: RNAcentral